UACGGAGGGUGCAAGCGUUAUCCGGAUUCACUGGGUUUAAAGGGUGCGUAGGCGGGCAGGUAAGUCCGUGGUGAAAUCUCUGAGCUUAACUCAGAAACUGCCAUGGAUACUAUUUGUCUUGAAUAUUGUGGAGGUAAGCGGAAUAUGUCAUGUAGCGGUGAAAUGCUUAGAUAUGACAUAGAACACCAAUUGCGAAGGCAGCUUACUACACAGUUAUUGACGCUGAGACGCGAAAGCGUGGGGAGCGAACAGG
Molecule: ribosomal RNA, 253 nt
Filed under: uncultured bacterium
Lineage: Bacteria
Description: partial 16S ribosomal RNA
Rfam family: Bacterial small subunit ribosomal RNA
Source: RNAcentral